RNAcentral lists this long non-coding RNA (875 nucleotides) under Olea europaea subsp. europaea. Lineage: Eukaryota; Viridiplantae; Streptophyta; Magnoliopsida; Lamiales; Oleaceae. The record is from RNAcentral.
AUCUAAUCAUCGUUCCUUCUGCUUCAGCACUCAGUUCGUCGUUCCUUCUCGAUCUCGUUUAGUUUGUGAUUGCGGUUCCACUCCCACGCCGACUCGUCUCUAGGGCUGGGCCCAUGACCCGCAACCCGCCAACCCAAACCGAACAACCCUGUGAAACCCUAUUCUGAUAAAUCUGCGUUGAAGAGUGAAGACCAUUAUUUAUCUCACAGCUUCAAAACCUAGCCUCCCUUGUCUCUCCCAUGAAAUUGGUGGCCAAUUAAUCUGAAAGACACCCAUUUUUCCUGCUCCUUCAAGGUAAUCCCCUAAGUUUCUCAUAUUUUGAAAAUAAUUUACUCGAUUUUUACUCCAAUAUUCUUCCUAUUUUGAUAUUUAAAAAAAAAAUUAAAUUAAAUUUGUCAUUAAGUUGUACUCAAAUUCAAUUCUAAUAAUGGUAUGCAAUUUGCUCAGGAAUUGCCUUUUCUUCCAUCACAAUGUCAUCACCGCCGAAACCAGAAUUGGGGGUGGGGUGUUCCUGCUGAAGGGCAAUAAGUUGCUGCUGGGCCACGGCACCUCCGUUGGUCGCAACACCUUAUUUUAAUUUUCCUUUCCAAAGCACGUGGCUUGAGUUUGAUUAGUGUAAAAUACUAUAAUAUAUGUUUCUAGCAUUGCCAGAACCUUAUGUGAAAUGCUAUUAAAGAUGUAAAUGGCUGUCAAAACUUAGAAUUUCGUCUGUAAAGACCGAAAAUAGCGGUUGGUAUUGGUUUGAGAAAUUUUAGGACAUUAUCAGAGCCUAACGUUCCAAACUUUGGCUCAGCCUAGGUAAUGAUAAUAAUGAAUAAAAUCACUUGUAUAAUGUUUAUGCACAACUUGAUUGACAAUAGGUGUGUUGAAAAAAU